UUUGAGAUAGUUUAAAUAAAAUACUAUUUUUGGGUAGUAGAAAUCCCCUAUGGGGUCUUACUG
RNAcentral lists this transfer RNA (63 nucleotides) under Paragyrodactylus variegatus. Its description in RNAcentral is "tRNA-Pro". Lineage: Eukaryota; Metazoa; Platyhelminthes; Monogenea; Gyrodactylidea; Gyrodactylidae. The record is from RNAcentral.